Molecule: ribosomal RNA, 215 nt
Filed under: uncultured fungus
Lineage: Eukaryota; Fungi
Description: partial small subunit ribosomal RNA
Rfam family: Eukaryotic small subunit ribosomal RNA (bases 89-215)
Source: RNAcentral
GGCCUGGCUGGGCGGUCCGCUUCACAGCGUGUACUGUCUGGCUGGGUCUUACUUCUUGGUGAGCUGGCGUGCCCUUUAUUGGUGUGCGUUGGGGAACCAGGACUUUUACCUUGAGAAAAUUAGAGUGUUCAAAGCAGGCUAUUGCCUGAAUACAUUAGCAUGGAAUAAUGAAAUAGGACGGACGGUUCUAUUUUGUUGGUUAUGGGACCACCGUA